AUUGAACGCUGGCGGCAUGCCUUACACAUGCAAGUCGAACGGCAGCAUGGGUGCUUGCACCUGAUGGCGAGUGGCGAACGGGUGAGUAAUGCAUCGGAACGUACCCGGAAGUGGGGGAUAACGUAGCGAAAGUUACGCUAAUACCGCAUAUUCUGUGAGCAGGAAAGCGGGGGAUCGCAAGACCUCGCGCCUCCGGAGCGGCCGAUGUCGGAUUAGCUAGUUGGCGGGGUAAAGGCCCACCAAGGCAACGAUCCGUAGCGGGUCUGAGAGGAUGAUCCGCCACACUGGGACUGAGACACGGCCCAGACUCCUACGGGAGGCAGCAGUGGGGAAUUUUGGACAAUGGGGGCAACCCUGAUCCAGCCAUGCCGCGUGAGUGAAGAAGGCCUUCGGGUUGUAAAGCUCUUUCGGCUGGGAAGAAAUCGCACCUCCUAAUACGGGGUGUGGAUGACGGUACCAGCAUAAGAAGCACCGGCUAACUACGUGCCAGCAGCCGCGGUAA
This 502-nucleotide ribosomal RNA is filed under the name uncultured bacterium. RNAcentral's name for it is "partial 16S ribosomal RNA". It matches the Rfam family "Bacterial small subunit ribosomal RNA", at positions 29 to 523 of the family's 1533-position model. The record is from RNAcentral.